AUGCGUAUGUUGAGAUGGAUGUGUGGCCACACGAGGAAGGAUCGAGUUCGGAAUGAUGAUAUACGAGAUAGAGUUGGGGUAGCAUCAAUUGAAGAGAAGCUUGUCCAACAUCGUCUGAGAUGGUUUGGGCAUAUUCAGCGCAGGCCUCCAGAAGCUUCGGUGCAUAGUGGACGGCUAAAGCAUGCGGAGAAUGUCAAGAGAGGGCGGGGUAGACCGAAUUUGACAUGGGAGGAGUCCGUUAAGAGAGACAUGAAGGAUUGGAGUAUCACCAAAGAGCUAGCUAUGGACAGGGGUGCGUGGAAGCUUGCUAUCCAUGUGCCAGAGCCAUGA
RNAcentral lists this ribosomal RNA (330 nucleotides) under Triticum aestivum (bread wheat). Its description in RNAcentral is "partial small subunit ribosomal RNA". The record is from RNAcentral. Lineage: Eukaryota; Viridiplantae; Streptophyta; Magnoliopsida; Poales; Poaceae.